RNAcentral lists this ribosomal RNA (542 nucleotides) under uncultured bacterium. Its description in RNAcentral is "bacterial SSU rRNA". It matches the Rfam family "Bacterial small subunit ribosomal RNA", at positions 119 to 674 of the family's 1533-position model. The record is from RNAcentral.
GAGUAAUCUGCCCUUCACUUCGGGAUAAGCUUCGGAAACGGGGUCUAAUACCGGAUACGACACUUUCAGGCAUCUGAUGAGUGUGGAAAGUUUUUUCGGUGGGGGAUGUGCUCGCGGCCUAUCAGCUUGUUGGUGGGGUAAUGGCCUACCAAGGCUUCGACGGGUAGCCGGCCUGAGAGGGUGACCGGCCACACUGGGACUGAGACACGGCCCAGACUCCUACGGGAGGCAGCAGUGGGGAAUAUUGGACAAUGGGCGGAAGCCUGAUCCAGCAACGCCGCGUGAGGGAUGACGGCCUUCGGGUUGUAAACCUCUUUCAGUACCGACGAAGCGAGAGUGACGGUAGGUACAGAAGAAGCACCGGCCAACUACGUGCCAGCAGCCGCGGUAAUACGUAGGGUGCGAGCGUUGUCCGGAAUUAUUGGGCGUAAAGGGCUCGUAGGCGGUUUGUCGCGUCGGGAGUGAAAACACCGGGCUUAACUCGGUGCUUGCUUUCGAUACGGGCAGACUAGAGGUAUGCAGGGGAGAACGGAAUUCCUGGU